Molecule: long non-coding RNA, 225 nt
Filed under: Chloebia gouldiae (Gouldian finch)
Lineage: Eukaryota; Metazoa; Chordata; Aves; Passeriformes; Passeridae
Description: Erythrura gouldiae (Gouldian finch) lncRNA (ENSEGOG00005005907.1)
Source: RNAcentral
CCUGACAUGACAUGAAUCACUGUGAUUAAUAUGAAGGAGCUGGGGACACAUCAGAAAAAAAGAGCAUUGUCAUUCGCUGAGCAGUGCUGCUGAUGGAGGGAACAGCAAAAGCCUUCUUGCAACAUUACCUCAAAUAGAAACACCUUGUUUUUGUUGUCUGGGAUCCUCAUCCUCUUCAAAGACCUCCAAGGCAUCCACAGGCUGUAUAAGGUAGGUCUUCAAGCA